ACCUUCCUGGUGGGAUUUUUUUUUUUAAUAUUUAUUUUCUUUAACCUGUAUGAGUACACUGUAGCUGUUUUCAGGCACACCAGAAGAGGGCGUGAGAUCUCAUUACAGAUGGUUGUGAUCCACCAUGUGGUUUCUGGGAAUUGAACUCAGGACCUCUGGAAGAGCAGUCAGUGCUCUUAACUGCUGAGCCAUCUCUCCAGACUGGGAUUAUUUUUUUCUUUAAGGAUUAAACUCUAAAACACCACAUGACAUUGACACUGCAAGUACUUGGACGUCACUAAGCACACUGCACAGGGAGCACUCACACUUGUACAGUUCAUUUCCAGGAAAGAACAGUCAGCUCUUAGCCUUCUUAGGGCUAACACCCUAUACCCUCCUCCCCAAGAGGGACCUAAAGUGUGCUGAAAGCCAGGAGAGAUAAAUGGCAGCCUCAGGUCUCUGGCUGUGAGGUUUCCUGGGUGAGAUUUUGUUUUCUGUGUGACUUAACUGCUGGGAAACUGAGUUCUAUGUAAUUGCUUAUACAACAGCAAUGCUCACACUGUAUACAGUAAGCAUGGGAUGAUGAGCAUAGUUCUGACAGUAGCGAUGCGCUGCUUUUAGAGUUCCUAUAACCUGGACUGUAAACUUGUUUUUUACUCCUGGGAGUUUCAAUGAAUGAUUAAAUAUCCUGGGCUUAAAAACAACAAACAAGGAAACAAACAACACUAUUUGCAAUGGAUGCAGAGACAUUAAAACAUGAGUUUAUCUUAUGUUAUGCAACUGAGAUUUUUUUUUUCUGUCUAAUGUGACCUGUGUUUGUCAUGAUAUUUCCACACUCCUUUUGAAAACAUGUUUUUGGUUAAGGACGUACAACGUUUUAGUUUUAGUUUUUUAGUUGUGAAGCAUGUUCAGAUUUUCUGUACUUGUGUAGCUGAUUGUUCAUGUGGCUUAGCAAGGUUUUCUAAAGCAGCUUCAGUAGCUGUCACUGAUUUUUUUCAAAAUAAAAUUUGGGCUGUUCUUUAU
This 1002-nucleotide long non-coding RNA is filed under the name Rattus norvegicus (Norway rat). Its description in RNAcentral is "long non-coding RNA NONRATT005189". The record is from RNAcentral. Lineage: Eukaryota; Metazoa; Chordata; Mammalia; Rodentia; Muridae.